Molecule: long non-coding RNA, 228 nt
Filed under: Elaeis guineensis (African oil palm)
Lineage: Eukaryota; Viridiplantae; Streptophyta; Magnoliopsida; Arecales; Arecaceae
Description: long non-coding RNA (EGUI_LNC077510)
Source: RNAcentral
UAAAAUAAGCUCUUCCUACACUCUCAGUCGUAGCCUGUCAGCCCAUAUCAUUAAUCAGUAGGGCCCCCCACAUGCCAUGAGAUGACAACACCAGACAUGAUUCUCGAAGAUGUCUAAUGGGAGACAAAAAUCUCUAACAGUUCUGUGCUCUCCCACGACUAGCAACCUGGCUAGUGGGCAGGACAACAGAUAAUGGACCGUAGGUGGCCACGACUAACAAACUAUUAG